This 728-nucleotide long non-coding RNA is filed under the name Rattus norvegicus (Norway rat). RNAcentral describes it as "long non-coding RNA NONRATT030724". The record is from RNAcentral. Lineage: Eukaryota; Metazoa; Chordata; Mammalia; Rodentia; Muridae.
CCGCUCAACUGCUGAGAUGGGCUCUGAACUCUUACAGACCAGUCCGGACAGUGAGACGGACCCCGAAGACAAAGCCGGUAAGGAGAGUGAAGACAGAGAACAGGAACAGGACAGGGAACCCCGGCAGGCAGAGCUCCCUAACCGUUCCCCAGGCUUCGGAAUCAAGAAGGAGAAGACAGGCUGGGACACAUCGGAAAGCGAGCUGAGUGAGGGGGAGCUGGAGAGGCGAAGGCGGACACUCCUACAACAGCUGGACGACCACCAAUGACCCCACGAGCUACUCUGCCUUGGGACUUCGUGAGGCAAUGGCUUCAGGGUGGCCUCAGCAUCUGCCUCAGACUCCUUCGUCUGUCUGGUCUGUGUCCACUUUCCCUACAGUAGCCCACCCCAACGCACUGCCGUGAGCGCCUCUCGAGGUUGCUCUUGGUGUUCAAGGGUCCCCUAGUUCUCAGACAACUAGUGCAGUCCUUGCCCUCAGCCCCAGACCAGAGACGGGCAGUCUAUACCACAUGGGGUGGGUGAUGCCAGUAGAUAGUGUGAGAAGGGGUCUCCCAGGAAAGAGACAGGCUGGUUGGACACAGCCUGGGUGGCCGAGGGCAGGGUCCUCACCCUCUAGCAUCAGUGCCUGCUCUUGCCUGACCUGGUCCUGGGGCUCUACCACUGCUUCCUCUCCCUUGGGACCCGAUGUAUGUGUUCUGUUUUGUUUUUUAAAUAAUAUUUAUAACAUG